AGUGAACGCUGGCGGUAGGCCUAACACAUGCAAGUCGAACGGCAGCACAGAGGAGCUUGCUCCUUGGGUGGCGAGUGGCGGACGGGUGAGGAAUACAUCGGAAUCUACUCUGUCGUGGGGGAUAACGUAGGGAAACUUACGCUAAUACCCCAUACGACCUACGGGUGAAAGCAGGGGAUCUUCGGACCUUGCGCGAUUGAAUGAGCCGGUGUCGGAUUAGCUAGUUGGCGGGGUAAAGGCCAACCAAGGCGACGAUCCGUAGCUGGUCUGAGAGGAUGAUCAGCCACACUGGAACUGAGACACGGUCCAGACUCCUACGGGAGGCAGCAGUGGGGAAUAUUGGACAAUGGGCGCAAGCCUGAUCCAGCCAUACCGCGUGGGUGAAGAAGGCCUUCGGGUUGUAAAGCCCUUUUGUUGGGAAAGAAAUCCAUCUGGUUAAUACCCGGGUGGGAUGACGGUACCCAAAGAAUAAGCACCGGCUAACUUCGUGCCAGCAGCCGCGGUAA
RNAcentral lists this ribosomal RNA (506 nucleotides) under uncultured bacterium. RNAcentral's name for it is "partial 16S ribosomal RNA". It matches the Rfam family "Bacterial small subunit ribosomal RNA", at positions 29 to 523 of the family's 1533-position model. The record is from RNAcentral.